Molecule: non-coding RNA, 2196 nt
Organism: Rattus norvegicus (Norway rat)
Lineage: Eukaryota; Metazoa; Chordata; Mammalia; Rodentia; Muridae
Source: RefSeq, a predicted model, not a curated record
GUGACAUCAAAUGCAAUCCCAGCCCAGCCACGUGGGUUGAAGGAGUGUAGUGUUUCUAUGCAGCUGCUACAGAGUCUCAUUUGGCAGUAAAGGGUCCCAGGAGGUAAUGAAGUGAGCUGGGGUGGGGCGGGGCCUCCUGGGCUUCUACAAGUCCCAAGCCAGGACCGGGUUGCUGCAGCUGGCUUCCUAGUAGCACGGGUACCCUAGUCAGGAUAGUGUGUCCCAGAGUUUAGGGGGAUGUCCAGAAUGACGCUGGUGGAAACAGGCACCUACGACUGUAUAAUGAGACCUGGGUCUUAGAAGUCUCCGUCCUCGGACACCGCCUAUGCUUCCAGUCCUUCUUCCAAAUCUUAAUGGUCCUUUCAGAGCUGUUUCCCCUGGGCUGCCUUUCUUAGGCUAGAGGAAGCCGUCUCUGUCGCCACGAAGUUCUCACCCUUACACAGACCUUCCUUUCAGCCCCGCCCUCUGGUUCACCGGGGCCGGUUUCUAAGCCCUGGCUCACUCUGGGCGGGAACCUCCGUGACGAAUUCAGCCCAAGGUGUUGAUUAUCCGGUCUUUGGCUCUCCUCCCACCUCUUCCCAGGCUCCCAGGGCCCCUCGACCCCACAUUGGGCAAGGGGCUAGAGACAGAGUCCUCAAAUCGUCGCCCACCCCGCCCCCCCCCCAACAGCAUCUCCAGCUGCAUCGGAGGAAAGAAGCGCCAGCGUGCUCCGUGCCACGUCGGAUUUGGCUCAAGACUGGUUGCAGCUGCGGGAGCGCAGCGCUGUCCCCGCGCACGCCCUGGCUACGGGCUGCUUAGCUGGGCGUCCGGCACAAGGAGGGAUGCGCGCUCUCCUCUCUCCCCGAGUGGCGAAUGCCACAGCCUGCGUGAGGGACCCCUUGCCCCAGAAAGGCUUUCGCAGGAUGGCUGUGCCCGGAUGCUCACUGCCUGACACUUAAAUGGAGUUUGGAAACUGCAAACGAGUUGGAGGCCUUGGAAAAGGGGGGAGUGGCUGAACCAGGAUGGUAGCGCGAAGAGGUGGCUCAGGACUUUUCCUUCCUUACGGUCUCUUCCAGCUUAAUGUAGCUGGAAGCCAGGAUCGUUUAACCCUUUCAGUACAAGUCCAAAUUGAGCUUUUUUUUUUUAUUUGUGACCCCACCCCACCCCCUGCACAGAACUGUGUCAGGGUGUUCCUGCCCACAUACUGGGGGGUUUGGGGGUAGGGGGGUUAGGGGGGGUUAGGAAGGUAAGGACAGUUGUGGGAUGAACUUUCCUUACACAGUGGAAAUCAUUGUUUUCUAACUCCGGAGUCCCUUUGACGCUCGGGAAGAUGCCCAGUGGAAAAGUACACCUCGGGACCAUCAGCUUUCCUUGGCCACGCCAGUUACCUGUGCGCCCAGAGAGGCAGCGGAUUCCACCGAAGAUAAAAACCCAGGCUAAGGCAUUCAAAGUUCACCCCAAAGCGCCUGUAUAACGUACCUUGUUCAGCUCCUGCUCAUAGACUCGUCCUCCGCCUGUCUGUGUGGUCCCGGAGGGUCGUGGAAGGAAGUUUCCAAAAUUGAGGUAAUAAGAAAUCAGAUGAAUUUGAGACGACCGGCCAAAAAAAAUAAGAAAUUUAAAAACAACAUUUAAAAAAAAAAUGGGGGGAGCCUUAAAUGUUUGGUUCUCCCCUCUUUGAGAAGAAAAUGCAUUAAUAUGCUCUUUUAUUAUUUCCGUUGCAUUUAAGUCUUCUAAAUUUUUUUGUUAAAUGUGCUUUAAAAAUAAAUUAAAUUUUCCCCUGUUUUGCUAUUUGCUCCAAUCCCCUUCCCUCCGACAAGGCAAAGUCUCCUUUUUCCACAUCAACCUAAAAGUCCGGUGAAGACUCAGCAGAGCCUAGCAAGAGCGGAAUGGAGGUCUUUGGCUGGUUCAAGUCCCCGGUUCAAUGGGCUGCUCAGAGCCAGGACUGGAGAAACGCAGCGCACAGAUGCUGACCAUCGCCUGAUACCUCUCCACAGGCAGUGGCCAAGAAGUGGGAAGCCCUGCUCUGUAAAUAUUGCUGAGACCUGAAAACAUGCAAAAGAUUUUCGAAAGGAGGUUUAAACUAAUGAUGAUAACGAUAAACCUGAGAAAAUGUGUACGGAAGCAGUCGCCUCUUAAGACAUCUGAAAUUACUUUUGCUUCUUGAAAGUCUUUUAGUUAAUGUUUUCAAAAUACUUUUUAAAAAUUUCAAUGACGCCA